CCUACGGGAGACAGCAGUGGGGGAUAUUGCACAAUGGGCGGAACCCUGAUGCAGCGACGCCGCGUGGGUGAAGAAGCCCCUCUGCGCGUUAAGCUCUGUUAGUAGGGAAGAAAAUCGCGGCACCUGAAGAAUACUCCACGGCCAACUACGUGCCAGCAGCCGCGGUAACACGGAGGGUGCAAGCGUUAUCCGGAUUUACUGGGUGUAAAGGGGGCGCAGAGGGUGAUGCAAGCCAGGAGUGAAAGCCCGGGGCCCAACCCCAGGAGUGCACUUGGAACUGCGAGGCUGGAGUGCAGGAGGGGCAGGCGGAAUGCGUGGUGUAGCGGUGAAAUGCGUAGAUAUCACGAAGAACCCCGGUGGCGAAGGCAGCCUGCUGGACUGUAACUGACGUUGAGGCCCGAAAGCGUGGGUAGCAAACAGGAUUAGAUACCCGGGUAGUC
RNAcentral lists this ribosomal RNA (440 nucleotides) under uncultured bacterium. Its description in RNAcentral is "partial 16S ribosomal RNA". It matches the Rfam family "Bacterial small subunit ribosomal RNA", at positions 338 to 795 of the family's 1533-position model. The record is from RNAcentral.